CCUACGGGGGGCAGCAGUGAGGAAUAUUGGACAAUGGUCGGAAGACUGAUCCAGCCAUGCCGCGUGAAGGACGAAGGCGCUCAGCGUUGUAAACUUCUUUUGGAUGGGGAUAAUAACCUCGAUUUAUCGGGGCUUGAAGGUACCAUCAGAAUAAGCACCGGCUAACUCCGUGCCAGCAGCCGCGGUAAUACGGAGGGUGCGAGCGUUAUCCGGAAUCACUGGGUUUAAAGGGUGCGUAGGCGGCGAGGUAAGUCAGUUGUGAAAUUCCCCGGCUCAACCGGUGGGACUGCGAUUGAUACUGCUUUGCUUGAAACAGGUUGAGGUAAGCGGAAUGUGACAUGUAGCGGUGAAAUGCAUAGAUAUGUCAUAGAACACCGAUUGCGAAGGCAGCUUGCUGGGCCUUGUUUGACGCUGAGGCACGAAAGCGUGGGGAGCAAACAGGCUUAGAUACCCCAGUAGUC
This 461-nucleotide ribosomal RNA is filed under the name uncultured Sphingobacteriales bacterium. RNAcentral describes it as "bacterial SSU rRNA". It matches the Rfam family "Bacterial small subunit ribosomal RNA", at positions 338 to 795 of the family's 1533-position model. Lineage: Bacteria; Pseudomonadati; Bacteroidota; Sphingobacteriia; Sphingobacteriales. The record is from RNAcentral.